Molecule: ribosomal RNA, 61 nt
Filed under: Salmonella enterica subsp. enterica serovar Norwich str. CFSAN001077
Lineage: Bacteria; Pseudomonadati; Pseudomonadota; Gammaproteobacteria; Enterobacterales; Enterobacteriaceae
Description: partial 16S ribosomal RNA
Source: RNAcentral
AAAUUGAAGAGUUUGAUCAUGGCUCAGAUUGAACGCUGGCGGCAGGCCUAACACAUGCAAG